UACGACUACAUAUCAGGCAUAUCAAUAAGCGGAGGAAAAGAAACUAACAAGGAUUCCCUUAGUAACGGCGAGUGAAGCGGGAAGAGCUCAAAUUUGAAAUCUUCAAGGUUUUACCUUGACGAAUUGUAGUUUAAAGAAGUGUUUUCUGUUGAAGUUUUGGUAAAAGUUCUUUGGAAUAGGACAUCAUAGAGGGUGAGAAUCCCGUAUUUGACCAUUAUUUUCAGCUGUGUGAUACACUUUCAAAGAGUCGGAUUGUUUGGGAAUGCAGUCCAAAAUGGGUGGUAAAUUUCAUCUAAAGCUAAAUAUUGGCGAGAGACCGAUAGCGAACAAGUACCGUGAGGGAAAGAUGAAAAGAACUUUGAAAAGAGAGUUAAACAGUACGUGAAAUUGUCGAAAGGGAAGCGUUUGACACCAGUGUUGUUUUCUCGAAAAUCAAUUAAAAAUAGUUGGAUUUUGUGUUGUAUUGACCUUAACAGCUUGCUUCACUCUUUUCCAGCUUUUUUUAAUGCACUUUUCGUUUAACAAGUCAACAUCAGUUUCUUUUGUUGUAAAAGGGUCAUUGGAAGGUGGCUUUCUUUCGGAGAAAGUGUUUAUAGCCUUUGCUCUCUGCAAUCGGAGAGAUUGAGGUCUGCAGCGUAGAUCCUUCGGGGUUAGAUACAUUUGUGCUAAGCUACAGCUUUUCAUAGACAACUUGUUGACUAUGUUUAGUCUUGUGACUUACCCGCUUAUGCUAUUUUACCUACGCUUAGGAUGUUGAGCGCAUGUCUCUCUCU
RNAcentral lists this ribosomal RNA (773 nucleotides) under uncultured Neocallimastigales. RNAcentral's name for it is "partial large subunit ribosomal RNA". It matches the Rfam family "Eukaryotic large subunit ribosomal RNA", at positions 24 to 616 of the family's 3401-position model. Lineage: Eukaryota; Fungi; Neocallimastigomycota; Neocallimastigomycetes; Neocallimastigales. The record is from RNAcentral.